UCCCCUGCCCCCGCCUCCACCCCCCACGGCCCGCCUCUGCCCCCGCAUACAGCCCGCCCCCACCCCCCUCCUCCUUCCCUUCCCCUGCGGCUGCAGCCGCCUCCUCCCCACACCCCAGUGACCCCACCACACCCGCCCCGUGCAGCCGCCGCGUCGCCGCCUUCCCAGGACCGGCCCAGCCGCCCGAGGCGCCGCCCCGGAUCUCUCUCGUAGCAGGCCAGCCCCAACGCUGCCAAGAUCUUUGUGAGAAGGUUGAAAUGCAUCUUGCUUCUUGCAGCCGAGCGAGUCUCGAAGGAGACGCGAACAAGUACGGUUUGAAUCUGUUUUUUGGGGCAGCUGAAUCCCAAAAAUCAUAUGGUACUUAUGCUUCCUCGUCAAAAGAAAGUUAUCUCCUAACCGAUCAGAUGGUAUGGAUACUCCAACCGUUAGUGGUGAUGUGACUUAUGUACGGUUUUAUUGCAUAUUAGAGAACGAUAUUUUGGCCAAUAGUCUCUUCUCGAAUACAAAUAUAUAUUUGCAAGUCUGUAAUCCUUAUUAAUGAUCAACCAUAUUAUUUUCUUCAAUGCAAGAUAUGGUUCUUCUUUGCAAUUGAUUGGGAUUUGCUCAACUCUGGUUUGUUGUUUGUUGCAGGAUGCCUGUAACCUAAUGAUGGAUUAGUUUGCUCUCGGAGUAUUCUCCGAUCACGUGCUUUUGUUUGUCUUAAGGCUAGAUCCAUCAGGAGUUCCUAGGAGACUCUUCAGUCCACUUCCCUGGGAACCAAGGUCAGUGCGACAAUGGAGCAUAGUAAAGGUUGACUCUUUGUCAUGUUUAAUAUCAGUAGCAACAUGCCUCGCAAUUGAUCUGCAGAGCCAAGAAAAUGCACUACUAGGAUGGAACCUAAAAAUGCCCCCAUUUGUAUGGUAUGCGAGUGCUUUUACGGUGAUUGUCGAGUACUUUUCAGUACUCCCGCCGAAAUUAAUUAUGUCCGUUGAUCUCUAACUAUGGGCUACUUGUGUAAAAUGGUAACAAGAUCGGCUGAUUUAACACAGUUAAUUACGACGGCCGUUA
Brachypodium distachyon (stiff brome) is the source of this 1047-nucleotide long non-coding RNA. RefSeq lists it as uncharacterized. NCBI's taxonomy places the organism in Eukaryota, Viridiplantae, Streptophyta, Magnoliopsida, Poales, Poaceae. The transcript is spliced from 2 exons. The record is from RefSeq and is a predicted model, not a curated record.